AGUGUGGUCAUGGGGAGGGAACAGCAGGAGAAUAAGACACAAGCUUUCCCAGCAGUCUGCAACGCUCGUUAUUUCUCAACAUCAGCUGAAAGAGACCCUAACCUACAAAAUCAUCUGAAGGAACUCAACAGAGAGUACAGGGCACGACUUGCAUGCUUUAUUCAGAACGUGAUGACUGCAACGUGAGAUGAUCCUGGCCCUCCCUGAACACACUUUAAAGGCCGGACCCCUUGAGGGCCACUUCAGUCCCGCAGGGGCCGAACUGAGAGAGAGCUACACAGACUGAGAGAGGACAAAGCCUGCCUGAGGAGGGCAAACUCAAACUGGCUCGGGAACAGAACCAUCAACUCAGGACUCGUUUGCAGUUCUCCAAAUCUCAGAAACUAACCCUUAUUGAUGACCUUAAAAGUCCAGAAGAUUUGGUAGUAGUAAUUUUUAAUUAAUUUGAGAUUUUUUGUUUCUUAAAAUAGGUGCUAAUUUUCUUUGAACUGCUGUCUCUUCUAGAA
Molecule: long non-coding RNA, 506 nt
Organism: Carassius auratus (goldfish)
Lineage: Eukaryota; Metazoa; Chordata; Actinopteri; Cypriniformes; Cyprinidae
Exons: 4
Source: RefSeq, a predicted model, not a curated record